UCUACUUAACGCGUUACGUCCGGAAAGCCACGGCUCAAGGCCACAACCUCCAAGUAGACAUCGUUUACGGCGUGGACUACCAGGGUAUCUAAUCCUGUUUGCUCCCCACGCUUUCGCAUCUDAGCGUCAGUCUUUGUCCAGGGGGCCGCCUUCGCCACCGGUAUUCCUUCAGAUCUCUACGCAUUUCACCGCUACACCUGAAAUUCUACCCCCCUCUACAAGACUCUAGUCUGCCAGUUCAAAAUGCUGUUCCGAGGUUGAGCCCCGGGCUUUCACAUCUUGCUUAACAGACGCCUGCAUGCGCUUUACGCCCAGUAAUUCCGAUUAACGCUCGCACCCUCCGUAUUACCGCGGCUGCUGGCACGGAGUUAGCCGGUGCUUCUUCUGUCGCUAACGUCAAGAUAAACAGCUAUUAACUGCUCACCCUUCCUCACGACUGAAAGUACUUUACAACCCGAAGCCUUCUUCAUACACGCGGCAUGGCUGCAUCAGGGUUUCCCCAUUGUGCGAUAUUCCCCACUGCUGCCUCCCGUAGAGUCUGGACCGUGUCUCAGUUCAGUGUGGCUGAUCAUCCUCUCAGACCAGCUAGGGAUCGUUGCUUGGUGAGCUUUACCCACCAACAAG
This 624-nucleotide ribosomal RNA is filed under the name Photobacterium sp. J158. RNAcentral's name for it is "16S ribosomal RNA". The record is from RNAcentral. Lineage: Bacteria; Pseudomonadati; Pseudomonadota; Gammaproteobacteria; Vibrionales; Vibrionaceae.